AUACGGAGGAUGCGAGCGUUAUCCGGAUUUAUUGGGUUUAAAGGGAGCGUAGGUGGGAUAUUAAGUCAGCUGUGAAAGUUUGGGGCUCAACCUUAAAAUUGCAGUUGAUACUGGUUUCCUUGAGUACGGUAUAGGUGGGCGGAAUUCGUGGUGUAGCGGUGAAAUGCUUAGAUAUCACGAAGAACUCCGAUCGCGAAGGCAGCUCACCGGGCCGGAACUGACACUGAUGCUCGAAAGUGCGGGUAUCAAACAGGAUUAGAUACCCUGGUAGUCCGCACAGUAAACGAUGAAUACUCGCUGUUUGCGAUACACGGUAAGCGGCCAAGCGAAAGCGUUAAGUAUUCCACCUGGGGAGUACGCCGGCAACGGUGAAACUCAAAGGAAUUGGCGGGG
RNAcentral lists this ribosomal RNA (393 nucleotides) under uncultured bacterium. Its description in RNAcentral is "partial 16S ribosomal RNA". It matches the Rfam family "Bacterial small subunit ribosomal RNA", at positions 523 to 918 of the family's 1533-position model. The record is from RNAcentral.